This 679-nucleotide ribosomal RNA is filed under the name Rhizobium sp. Its description in RNAcentral is "bacterial SSU rRNA". It matches the Rfam family "Bacterial small subunit ribosomal RNA", at positions 94 to 807 of the family's 1533-position model. The record is from RNAcentral. Lineage: Bacteria; Pseudomonadati; Pseudomonadota; Alphaproteobacteria; Hyphomicrobiales; Rhizobiaceae.
AGCGGCAGACGGGUGAGUAACGCGUGGGAAUCUACCGAGCCCUACGGAAUAACGCAUGGAAACGUGUGCUAAUACCGUAUACGCCCUACGGGGGAAAGAUUUAUCGGGGUUUGAUGAGCCCGCGUUGGAUUAGCUAGUUGGUGGGGUAAAGGCCUACCAAGGCGACGAUCCAUAGCUGGUCUGAGAGGAUGAUCAGCCACAUUGGGACUGAGACACGGCCCAAACUCCUACGGGAGGCAGCAGUGGGGAAUAUUGGACAAUGGGCGCAAGCCUGAUCCAGCCAUGCCGCGUGAGUGAUGAAGGUCUUAGGAUUGUAAAGCUCUUUCACCGGAGAAGAUAAUGACGGUAUCCGGAGAAGAAGCCCCGGCUAACUUCGUGCCAGCAGCCGCGGUAAUACGAAGGGGGCUAGCGUUGUUCGGAAUUACUGGGCGUAAAGCGCACGUAGGCGGAUAUUUAAGUCAGGGGUGAAAUCCCAGAGCUCAACUCUGGAACUGCCUUUGAUACUGGGUAUCUAGAGUAUGGAAGAGGUGAGUGGAAUUCCGAGUGUAGAGGUGAAAUUCGUAGAUAUUCGGAGGAACACCAGUGGCGAAGGCGGCUCACUGGUCCAUUACUGACGCUGAGGUGCGAAAGCGUGGGGAGCAAACAGGAUUAGAUACCCUUGGUAGUCCACGCCGUAAAC